GGAAAAAAAUAGUACACUUGUUUAACAUCUUUCUAUUUACCACUACACGUGAAAUGGAUACAGACAUCCUUUCUGUUUGUGGUCGUUUACAACAAACGUAACCCUCGUUCUGUCACAUUCAUCCGAAUCCCAAACUAAUAGACGAGUGAAUCAAUGAGUUCACUGAGCCUGACUUUUUUGACAUCACAGCGGCGUCGACUCUCAACAACUUCUACUCAGAGAUGUAUCACCAAAAUUCGCUGAUAAUAUUUUUCUUUAAUUUCUUAAAUGAAUUUACAUUUAAAGUGAUGCAUAUGCAUACACGGAGACAAAUUUCGUUAGUUUGAAACAAAAAUAUUCAUGUUUAUUCGGUAAACUGAUAAAAUAUUUAAAACUAAAAUAUUUAUUUUUAAAACUAACUCAAUUACAUAUUGAUUUCUACAAUACCCAUUGAAAAGCCCCCCGUUCCGCCGUCGAGAACAUAAACAAAACUCUCAAGUUUGAGCUGCAGCACCAAACAAGAUUUGCUCUUGCAAAAAAGGCAAGUUUCACCAAAAGUUUCCACGAAAUCCCAUUGAUUUCGGGAGCGUAUGUUAUCUACAUGAUGUUGGCAUUGAAAGUGCCACGCGGGAAGUGGGUUUUCCUAGAGAAGGAAAUUACUUUGUAAAUUUAAUUUGAAAACAAAUAUUUCCGUAGGGCCGACCUGUCACAAAAACAAAAAAUUUUACAUUUGUUUCUAACAUAACCUGUCAGAGGAUGCAUGUUUGUUUCAAAAAUGGAUUGAAUUUGCUUCAAAUGUUACGUUCGAUUUGCUCCAAACAGUUUUACUUUUGUUGCCAGAACAAAUUGACAAUUUAUUUGAGUUUACCUGAAAUAUUUUUGAUUUUACCACGCUUUUUUUCUGCAUGUGUCGUUGCACUAGCCCAUAUUUUUGCAACUUCAUCGCGACAACUAGAUGCAAUAACUUAUAUAACAAAUUUUCAGCUGGGUACAAAUGGUUGAGAGUCGACCCCGCUGGGGUGUCAAAAUUCGCGGCCCGAGUGAACUUUCAGCGGGCGGUGCACUCGUCUAUAGACGAAAAUUUUUCAAUAUUUUGCAGAAACGAAGCAUUUAAACAAAAAAAAUCUUAAGAUGAAACCAAAAUGGCGCCACAAAUUAAGUUACGAAUAAUGCAUUGGGGUCAUUAUGACCCAGAAAUUCAAACUCUUAUAGAAUGACGAUUUUUUACAGCAAUUCAAAUGACCAAUGCCUUAUUUGAUAGAUAAUUUCGUCAAGAAGGUGUCGAUAUAUUGAAAUAGUGGUUCCGGGAGCAUUGGCCACCGGGAAUCUGCUACACAGGGCAUCAUGUCGGACAUGUGGGAUAGGAUAGGAAACAAUUUUGUUUGAAAAUCACUCACUGCCUGCGCUUGUGUUCUUAGAAGCUUCCAGUUCAGUCUAAACGCCAUACAGGGAGUGGCCAAAAUGUUUGGGAUAGGCAACUUUUUUUCUCUUUCAAAACAAUUCACCAUGCUGUAACUUUUCAUAGAGUGCAUCAAAAAUUCUCAAAUUUUGACUGUUUGUCAAUCUAUUAUAUGUGCAUCACUGUUACAAAUUUAGACUCUAUUGAUUAAUCUUUCGCCAAGCUAGAACCGUUCUCGUAAAACACUAUUUUUUAGAUAACCAAUUUUUGAACUGUCAUAUCUCCGAAACCAGUGAACCGAAUCGAAUAAAAUUUCAAACGUUUAUCAACAAUAUAUUGAUACUUCAUGCGUCAUUAUAUCAUGUUAUAUUUUCUCUCGACGAAUAAAGUUAUACCGGUUUGACAUUUUCACCUAUAUAGAGAAAAAUAAGACAAAUUUACAAUACCACAUAAAAAUUACUAAAUGUAUUCUUCCUUCAAUCAAAAUAGGCUCUAAUAUAUCUAAUAAGAUAAAUCUUGAAAACAAAAGUAAAAUUUCUUAGGAUAUCAAAACUAAAAUUAUUUAUUUUUUUUUGUUUAUAUUAACGUGUAUUUUAACUUAAAUGCUAAUUCUACACUUGCGUCUAAAAUUUAUUGACUUCUUCUUCUCCUUCUUCUUCUUCUUCUUCUUCUUGGCGUAACGUCCUCACUGGGACAAAGCCUGCUUCUCAGCUUAUGUUCUAUGAGCACUUCCACAGUUAUUAACUGAGAGCUUCCUCUGCCAAUGACCAUUUUGCAUGUGUAUAUCGUGUGGCAGGCACGAAGAUACUCUAUGCCCAAGGAAGUCAAGGAAAUU
Molecule: long non-coding RNA, 2213 nt
Organism: Aedes albopictus (Asian tiger mosquito)
Lineage: Eukaryota; Metazoa; Arthropoda; Insecta; Diptera; Culicidae
Exons: 2
Source: RefSeq, a predicted model, not a curated record